GUUCCAGUGUGGUGUAGUGGUUUGAGUGUUGGACUAUGAUUCUGGAGACCAGGGUUCAAAUCCCUGCUGAGUCA
This is a non-coding RNA of Phrynosoma platyrhinos (Desert horned lizard), 74 nucleotides long. The record is from the annotation of a GenBank genome assembly. Lineage: Eukaryota; Metazoa; Chordata; Lepidosauria; Squamata; Phrynosomatidae.